Haemorhous mexicanus (house finch) is the source of this 350-nucleotide long non-coding RNA. RefSeq lists it as uncharacterized. NCBI's taxonomy places the organism in Eukaryota, Metazoa, Chordata, Aves, Passeriformes, Fringillidae. The transcript is spliced from 2 exons. The record is from RefSeq and is a predicted model, not a curated record.
GGCCGGAGUGGAAAAGCACGUUUAAAUCCCGAGCUCGCCUUUCCCACGUGGUGUCUCGCUGAGCUGCUGUCACAGCCACGCCGCGCUCUCUCAGGGCACCGGAGCUUCUCCCCUGCCCUGCCGGGAAGGCACAAGGAGGCAGCCUUCAUCGAGCGAGGAGAGCGAAUCUUGGCAAAAAGAGCACCGAAGGAUGUGAACCCCUUGGAAAAUUCCACUUCCUGCCCAGCACUGCGUGUCCUUGGGUCUCUCACUCAUUCCCAUGCACUUAACGAGGGAUUUCUGCCUCAGGCUACCACACCAACUUUCUAAAUAAAUGCCGCGCACACCCGAGCGCGGUGCUCUGCAGUUAA